Molecule: ribosomal RNA, 550 nt
Filed under: uncultured bacterium
Lineage: Bacteria
Description: bacterial SSU rRNA
Rfam family: Bacterial small subunit ribosomal RNA
Source: RNAcentral
UACAMUGCAGUCGAGCGGGCGUAGCAAUACGUCAGCGGCAGACGGGUGAGUAACGCGUGGGAACGUACCUUUUGGUUCGGAACAACACAGGGAAACUUGUGCUAAUACCGGAUAAGCCCUUACGGGGAAAGAUUUAUCGCCGAAAGAUCGGCCCGCGUUUGAUUAGCUAGUUGGUGAGGUAAUGGCUCACCAAGGCGACGAUCAGUAGCUGGUCUGAGAGGAUGAUCAGCCACAUUGGGACUGAGACACGGCCCAMACUCCUACGGRAGGCAGCAGUGGGGAAUAUUGGACAAUGGGGGCAACCCUGAUCCAGCCAUGCCGCGUGAGUGAUGAAGGCCCUAGGGUUGUAAAGCUCUUUUGUGCGGGAAGAUAAUGACGGUACCGCAUGAAUAAGCCCCGGCUAACUUCGUGCCAGCAGCCGCGGUAAUACGAAGGGGGCUAGCGUUGCUCGAAAUCACUGAGCGUAAAGGGUGCGUACGCGGGUCUUUAAGUCAGGGGUGAAAUCCUGGAGCUCANCUCCWSAACUGCCUUUGAURCUGAAUAUCUUGAG